CAAAGAUUAUCGUGUAAAAUUUAUAUUAGAAAAUCAGGAAACCUUUCCCUUGACAUUUCUGCCGUAAGGAGAAAAUAUUUCUGUUUGUAAUUUCGAGAAAUAAUCGGCGAUUGUCUAGGCCACAGACUGCGAAAUCGCCAGGUGUUAGCUUUCAUGGGAACCCUGAUUACAACAAUGCUGUUUUAGGCUAUUCUCUUGAAAUUAGAAUGUAUACACUCCCUCCAGAUUAAGGUUUCCUCCCGAAAUCUAACAUCCUAGCUAGACCCAGCUUACUGCAAUAUCUUCUUUGCUCUAUGCCUUCGUAAACUGGAACAAAAUUGUAACCAGCAGCAGAUGUGCGAGCUGCCGAAGUUGUCGAUUGAUAGCAACAUCAUUUUUAAGCGUUAACUAAUUUAAUUUUGUUAUGAUAAGAAAGAGUCAUUCGAUAUAGGGCAAUCUCGGAACAAUAGAAAAAUAAUCGCGUGAUCUUAUCCACUUGGAUAUAAUAUUUACACAAAAAACAGAAUUCUGUAUUCUGGGGUGCCAUCAUUCUUGGAAAACGGAUCGGAUUGGCAAUGAAUGUUAUAGUAGAUGUAAAAACCUGAAAUCUGUAUUCUGGAGCUGUGUGCAUGGAAUUAUCCCUGGAGAACGGAACGUAUUUUCAGUAAGCUUGAGAGAGAUAUUUGCAGUUCUUUGCAUUUCGUGAUUAACGUUUCCAAAGGCAC
Molecule: non-coding RNA, 704 nt
Organism: Paramuricea clavata
Lineage: Eukaryota; Metazoa; Cnidaria; Anthozoa; Malacalcyonacea; Plexauridae
Source: the annotation of a GenBank genome assembly